RNAcentral lists this long non-coding RNA (325 nucleotides) under Helianthus annuus (common sunflower). Its description in RNAcentral is "sRNA HanXRQr2_Chr01g0014251". The record is from RNAcentral. Lineage: Eukaryota; Viridiplantae; Streptophyta; Magnoliopsida; Asterales; Asteraceae.
UACACCAUCUAUUCAGACUUCUCAAUCUCUCUGAAUCUCCUAUCCCAAUCCUGUGUGUCAUAGUCUUGCUCAAAUAUGUCUCUUUCCGUGGUGUACACAAUCCGAUCCUGUCCGAUCACAGUCCUCUGAGACAUGUCCCGAGCAUUAAGAAUCUCUUCUACUUCUACUUCUAUUUCUACUACUACUACUGAUGCUGCUACCAUUUGGUGUUCCUAAUUUGGUAUAAGUGUUGUGGAGAAGGUGAUUAACGGAGUAUUUGAAGGUUUUUGAGUGGAAUUUGGGGGUGAUUGUGAAGCACGUGGAGAUUGAGGCCAUUGAUUUGAUU